This 236-nucleotide ribosomal RNA is filed under the name uncultured Glomus. Its description in RNAcentral is "partial 18S ribosomal RNA". It matches the Rfam family "Eukaryotic small subunit ribosomal RNA", at positions 667 to 886 of the family's 1831-position model. The record is from RNAcentral. Lineage: Eukaryota; Fungi; Glomeromycota; Glomeromycetes; Glomerales; Glomeraceae.
GAUCAAUGUUUCGGUCAUGCCGUUGGUAUGUACUGAUAUUAUUGGUUUCUCACCUUCUAAAGAACCGUAAUGCCAUUAAUUUGGUGUCAUGGGGAAUUAGGACUGUUACCUUGAAAAUUAGAGUGUUUAAAGCAGGCUCACGCUUGAAUACAUUAGCAUGGAAUAAUGAAAUAGGACAUCCGAUUCUAUUUUGUUGGUUUCCAGGAUCGAUGUAAUGAUUAAUAGGGAUAGUUGGG